This 65-nucleotide transfer RNA is filed under the name Macroscytus gibbulus. Its description in RNAcentral is "tRNA-Thr". Lineage: Eukaryota; Metazoa; Arthropoda; Insecta; Hemiptera; Cydnidae. The record is from RNAcentral.
GUUUUAAUAGUUUAUAUAUAAAACAAUGAUUUUGUAAAUCAUAAAAAAGUGAAUCUUUUAAAACU